GAUGAACGCUGGCGGCGUGCCUAAUACAUGCAAGUAGAACGCUGAAGGAGGAGCUUGCUCUUCUGGAUGAGUUGCGAACGGGUGAGUAACGCGUAGGUAACCUGCCUGGUAGCGGGGGAUAACUAUUGGAAACGAUAGCUAAUACCGCAUGACAACAGUUAUUGCAUGAUAACUGUUUAAAAGGGGCAACUGCUCCACUACCAGAUGGACCUGCGUUGUAUUAGCUAGUUGGUGAGGUAACGGCUCACCAAGGCGACGAUACAUAGCCGACCUGAGAGGGUGCUCGGCCACACUGGGACUGAGACACGGCCCAGACUCCUACGGGAGGCAGCAGUAGGGAAUCUUCGGCAAUGGACGGAAGUCUGACCGAGCAACGCCGCGUGAGUGAAGAAGGUUUUCGGAUCGUAAAGCUCUGUUGUAAGAGAAGAACGAGUGUGAGAGUGGAAAGUUCACACUGUGACGGUAUCUUACCAGAAAGGGACGGCUAACUACGUG
Molecule: ribosomal RNA, 495 nt
Filed under: uncultured bacterium
Lineage: Bacteria
Description: partial 16S ribosomal RNA
Rfam family: Bacterial small subunit ribosomal RNA
Source: RNAcentral